This is a non-coding RNA of Camellia sinensis, 290 nucleotides long. The record is from RefSeq and is a predicted model, not a curated record. NCBI's taxonomy places the organism in Eukaryota, Viridiplantae, Streptophyta, Magnoliopsida, Ericales, Theaceae.
GAUUCACAGGUGGAAAUUCAAGUGAAGAAGCUUUACUGCAUCAGCAAGGCAGUUCCUGCCUUACCUAUUAACAUUGAGGAUGCUGCACGCGGUGAAAUUGAAAUUGAAAAGGCUUUACAGGCUGGAAAAUAGCUUGUUCGUGUCAAUCAGGAUACCCGUUUGAAUUUCAGGGUUCUUGACCUGCGUACUCCUACUAACCAAGGAAUAUUUCGCGUUCAGUGCCAAGUUGAAAAUAUAUUCAGGCAGUUCUUGCUAGCUGAUGGCUUUGUUGGGAUUCAUACCCCAAAGUU